Molecule: transfer RNA, 77 nt
Filed under: Sulfitobacter sp.
Lineage: Bacteria; Pseudomonadati; Pseudomonadota; Alphaproteobacteria; Rhodobacterales; Roseobacteraceae
Also listed under: 4 other names
Description: tRNA-Pro
Rfam family: tRNA
About the family: Transfer RNA (tRNA) molecules are approximately 80 nucleotides in length. Their secondary structure includes four short double-helical elements and three loops (D, anti-codon, and T loops). Further hydrogen bonds mediate the characteristic L-shaped molecular structure. tRNAs have two regions of fundamental functional importance: the anti-codon, which is responsible for specific mRNA codon recognition, and the 3' end, to which the tRNAs corresponding amino acid is attached (by aminoacyl-tRNA synthetases). tRNAs cope with the degeneracy of the genetic code in two manners: having more than one tRNA (with a specific anti-codon) for a particular amino acid; and 'wobble' base-pairing, i.e. permitting non-standard base-pairing at the 3rd anti-codon position.
Source: RNAcentral
CGGAGCGUAGCGCAGCUUGGUAGCGCACCUGCUUUGGGAGCAGGGGGUCGCUGGUUCGAAUCCAGUCGCUCCGACCA